Molecule: transfer RNA, 91 nt
Filed under: Aquificota bacterium
Lineage: Bacteria; Pseudomonadati; Aquificota
Description: Aquificae bacterium (hydrothermal vent metagenome) tRNA-Ser
Rfam family: tRNA
About the family: Transfer RNA (tRNA) molecules are approximately 80 nucleotides in length. Their secondary structure includes four short double-helical elements and three loops (D, anti-codon, and T loops).
Source: RNAcentral
GGAGGGGUGGCCGAGAGGCCGAAGGCGGCUGCUUGCUAAGCAGUUGAGCGGGUUUACGCCCGCUCCGUGGGUUCGAAUCCCACCCCCUCCG